Molecule: ribosomal RNA, 1434 nt
Filed under: Klebsiella pneumoniae subsp. ozaenae
Lineage: Bacteria; Pseudomonadati; Pseudomonadota; Gammaproteobacteria; Enterobacterales; Enterobacteriaceae
Description: 16S ribosomal RNA
Rfam family: Bacterial small subunit ribosomal RNA
Source: RNAcentral
AUCCUGGCUCAGAUUGAACGCUGGCGGCAGGCCUAACACAUGCAAGUCGAGCGGUAGCACAGAGAGCUUGCUCUCGGGUGACGAGCGGCGGACGGGUGAGUAAUGUCUGGGAAACUGCCUGAUGGAGGGGGAUAACUACUGGAAACGGUAGCUAAUACCGCAUAACGUCGCAAGACCAAAGUGGGGGACCUUCGGGCCUCAUGCCAUCAGAUGUGCCCAGAUGGGAUUAGCUAGUAGGUGGGGUAACGGCUCACCUAGGCGACGAUCCCUAGCUGGUCUGAGAGGAUGACCAGCCACACUGGAACUGAGACACGGUCCAGACUCCUACGGGAGGCAGCAGUGGGGAAUAUUGCACAAUGGGCGCAAGCCUGAUGCAGCCAUGCCGCGUGUGUGAAGAAGGCCUUCGGGUUGUAAAGCACUUUCAGCGGGGAGGAAGGCGUUAAGGUUAAUAACCUUGGCGAUUGACGUUACCCGCAGAAGAAGCACCGGCUAACUCCGUGCCAGCAGCCGCGGUAAUACGGAGGGUGCAAGCGUUAAUCGGAAUUACUGGGCGUAAAGCGCACGCAGGCGGUCUGUCAAGUCGGAUGUGAAAUCCCCGGGCUUAACCUGGGAACUGCAUUCGAAACUGGCAGGCUAGAGUCUUGUAGAGGGGGGUAGAAUUCCAGGUGUAGCGGUGAAAUGCGUAGAGAUCUGGAGGAAUACCGGUGGCGAAGGCGGCCCCCUGGACAAAGACUGACGCUCAGGUGCGAAAGCGUGGGGAGCAAACAGGAUUAGAUACCCUGGUAGUCCACGCCGUAAACGAUGUCGAUUUGGAGGUUGUGCCCUUGAGGCGUGGCUUCCGGAGCUAACGCGUUAAGUCGACCGCCUGGGGAGUACGGCCGCAAGGUUAAAACUCAAAUGAAUUGACGGGGGCCCGCACAAGCGGUGGAGCAUGUGGUUUAAUUCGAUGCAACGCGAAGAACCUUACCUACUCUUGACAUCCAGAGAACUUAGCAGAGAUGCUUUGGUGCCUUCGGGAACUGUGAGACAGGUGCUGCAUGGCUGUCGUCAGCUCGUGUUGUGAAAUGUUGGGUUAAGUCCCGCAACGAGCGCAACCCUUAUCCUUUGUUGCCAGCGGUCCGGCCGGGAACUCAAAGGAGACUGCCAGUGAUAAACUGGAGGAAGGUGGGGAUGACGUCAAGUCAUCAUGGCCCUUACGACCAGGGCUACACACGUGCUACAAUGGCAUAUACAAAGAGAAGCGACCUCGCGAGAGCAAGCGGACCUCAUAAAGUAUGUCGUAGUCCGGAUUGGAGUCUGCAACUCGACUCCAUGAAGUCGGAAUCGCUAGUAAUCGUAGAUCAGAAUGCUACGGUGAAUACGUUCCCGGGCCUUGUACACACCGCCCGUCACACCAUGGGAGUGGGUUGCAAAAGAAGUAGGUAGCUUAACCUU